RNAcentral lists this small nuclear RNA (24 nucleotides) under Arabidopsis thaliana (thale cress). Its description in RNAcentral is "snRNA_13732". Lineage: Eukaryota; Viridiplantae; Streptophyta; Magnoliopsida; Brassicales; Brassicaceae. The record is from RNAcentral.
AGCUUUCUUGAUAUCGGCUUGAAC